RNAcentral lists this ribosomal RNA (254 nucleotides) under uncultured bacterium. RNAcentral describes it as "partial 16S ribosomal RNA". It matches the Rfam family "Bacterial small subunit ribosomal RNA", at positions 524 to 776 of the family's 1533-position model. The record is from RNAcentral.
UACGUAGGGUGCGAGCGUUAAUCGGAAUUACUGGGCGUAGAGCGUGCGCAGGCGGCUUUCCAAGUCAGUGGUGAAAGCCCAGAGCUCAACUCCGGAAAUGCCAUUGAAACUGUGAAGCUUGAGAACGAGAGAGGUGAGUGGAAUUCCCCAGUGUAGAGGUGAAAUUCGUAGAUAUUGGGAAGAACACCAGUGGCGAAGGCGGCUCACUGGCUCGUAACUGACGCUCAUGCACGACAGCGUGGGGAUCAAACAGG